GACGAACGCUGGCGGCGUGCUUAACACAUGCCAGUCGAACGGAAAGGCCCUGCUUUUGUGGGGUGCUCGAGUGGCGAACGGGUGAGUAACACGUGAGUAACCUGCCCUUGACUUUGGGAUAACUUCAGGAAACUGGGGCUAAUACCGGAUAGGAGCUCCUGCUGCAUGGUGGGGGUUGGAAAGUUUCGGCGGUUGGGGAUGGACUCGCGGCUUAUCAGCUUGUUGGUGGGGUAGUGGCUUACCAAGGCUUUGACGGGUAGCCGGCCUGAGAGGGUGACCGGCCACAUUGGGACUGAGAUACGGCCCAGACUCCUACGGGAGGCAGCAGUGGGGAAUAUUGCACAAUGGGCGGAAGCCUGAUGCAGCACCGCCGCGUGCGGGAUGACGGCCUUCGGGUUGUAAACCGCUUUCGCCUGUGACGAAGCGUGAGUGACGGUAAUGGGUAAAGAAGCACCGGCUAACUACGUG
This 468-nucleotide ribosomal RNA is filed under the name uncultured bacterium. Its description in RNAcentral is "partial 16S ribosomal RNA". It matches the Rfam family "Bacterial small subunit ribosomal RNA", at positions 28 to 507 of the family's 1533-position model. The record is from RNAcentral.